RNAcentral lists this ribosomal RNA (253 nucleotides) under uncultured bacterium. RNAcentral's name for it is "partial 16S ribosomal RNA". It matches the Rfam family "Bacterial small subunit ribosomal RNA", at positions 524 to 776 of the family's 1533-position model. The record is from RNAcentral.
UACGUAGGGGGCAAGCGUUGUCCGGAAUCAUUGGGCGUAAAGCGCGCGUAGGCGGCCCGGUAAGUCCGUUGUAAAAGUCAAAGGCUCAACCUUUGAAAGCCGAUGGAUACUGCCGGGCUAGAAUCCGGAAGAGGCGAGUGGAAUUCCUGGUGUAGCGGUGGAAUACGCAGAUAUCAGGAGGAACACCAAUAGCGAAGGCAGCUCGCUGGGACGGUAUUGACGCUAAGGCGCGAAAGCGUGGGGAGCAAACAGG